AUGACCGGCACAAUUCGCCACACCAGAUUACGUCAUAAGGCUGCUAGCAACUCAAAUGGUAGUUGCACCAACUCUAAUGGUAGCAACUCCCAAAGGACCAACCGUGAUGGCAGUGACCUAGGUCACAAUGCCCCCCAAAGGACAAAUGUUGGCAGCAAUAACUCAAGUGGUGGCCAUACAAUCAAUGCCCGCGAAGCAAUUCCACAGAAGAGGGGGAGGGCAAAGAGAGCAAAGACCUCGCUAAGAAUGCCUCCUAAUGGUCGCAAGGUCCAACUCGAACCUAACGUUGAACAUAAGCAAUUUAAAUAUCUUGGUGGCAUUCCCAAUGGAUACAAAUAUGGUUCACAGUUGGGAGUCAUUCUCAAACGGGAAUAUCCAGGUUUAGUUAAGUACAUGGACGAUAGUGGUGUAACUAGAAGCCGCCCAGCACUAGAAUGGGAGGACUACUAUCUUGUGCAUGAGGAUGAAGGUGUUUCCAAUGCUGACCGGGUGAAGCAAGAAUUUUGGCGUUGCUUUGAAGUUGCCGAGUCAAAUAGGGUGGAGGCUGAUCGUAUUUUAGAAAGCUAUGCGAGGAGGAAAGUGAAAGACAUCUUGUACCAAGCUCGUGUGGAUGCAGUCAAGAUAUAUUAUGAUGACCAAGGAGAGGAGCUUGAUGACAAGCUGGCAUGUGCAAGGGAACUUACGUUAGAACAAUACUUAGCUAGCAGAGUUGAUUGGUUUAGUCCUACUGUAUGGCCUCAUAUUUGUAGUUAUUGGUGCUCAAAAGAGUUCAAGGAAGCAAGGUGCAGAGGCCAAAAAUCCCGCUUGCAAUCCAAAGAUGUUGCUCAAAAUCGCGGAGGUUCACGACCAUUCACGGAGUAUAGGCAAUUUUUGGAACAUAAGUUUGGACCUGAGAAGGCCACCAUAAUGAACACAUAUGUUGUGAUGAAAUCUGGUAUGAAAAACCUCGAUGAAAAUGGCAAUAGUGGUGCAAUUGUAUGCUCCGUCUCCUAUCCCUUUUUUGAUGAUUAUUCUACUGGUAUGAAGGAAGCAUAUCCAGAGAAUUGGCAGGACAUGGAUUUGGAUGAAAGGGUCUUGUACAACACAUCAGGUGGCAUGUCUCAUGGCCGUGUAGCGAUUGCAUCUGGUGCUGUGAAGAAAGCUGUUGUACUUUCCGCUGCUAGGGCAACAAAUCUGAAGCCAUCUACUUCCAUUGCUUACUGA
Molecule: ribosomal RNA, 1203 nt
Filed under: Triticum aestivum (bread wheat)
Lineage: Eukaryota; Viridiplantae; Streptophyta; Magnoliopsida; Poales; Poaceae
Description: partial small subunit ribosomal RNA
Source: RNAcentral